This 422-nucleotide ribosomal RNA is filed under the name uncultured bacterium. RNAcentral describes it as "bacterial SSU rRNA". It matches the Rfam family "Bacterial small subunit ribosomal RNA", at positions 355 to 774 of the family's 1533-position model. The record is from RNAcentral.
UAAGGAAUAUUGGUCAAUGGACGCAAGUCUGAACCAGCCGUGCCGCGUGAAGGAUUAAGGCCCUCUGGGUUGUAAACUUCUUUUAUAGGGGAAGAAAUGUGACGGUUCUCCGUCACUUGACGGUACCCUGGGAAUAAGCACCGGCUAACUCCGUGCCAGCAGCCGCGGUAAUACGGAGGGUGCAAGCGUUAUCCGGAUUCACUGGGUUUAAAGGGUGCGUAGGUGGGCAGAUAAGUCAGUGGUGAAAUCUUCCGGCUUAACCGGGAAACUGCCGUUGAUACUAUUUGUCUUGAAUAUUGCGGAGGUAAGCGGAAUAUGUCAUGUAGCGGUGAAAUGCUUAGAUAUGACAUAGAACACCAAUUGCGAAGGCAGCUUACUACACAAUCAUUGACACUGAGGCACGAAAGCGUGGGUAGCGAACA